GGGUUAUAGCUCAGCUGGGAGAGCACCUGGUUCGCAAUCAGGGGGUCAGGGGUUCGAAUCCCCCUAGCUCC
Molecule: transfer RNA, 71 nt
Filed under: uncultured Bulleidia sp.
Lineage: Bacteria; Bacillati; Bacillota; Erysipelotrichia; Erysipelotrichales; Erysipelotrichaceae
Rfam family: tRNA
About the family: Transfer RNA (tRNA) molecules are approximately 80 nucleotides in length. Their secondary structure includes four short double-helical elements and three loops (D, anti-codon, and T loops).
Source: RNAcentral